This 1941-nucleotide ribosomal RNA is filed under the name Triticum aestivum (bread wheat). Its description in RNAcentral is "partial small subunit ribosomal RNA". The record is from RNAcentral. Lineage: Eukaryota; Viridiplantae; Streptophyta; Magnoliopsida; Poales; Poaceae.
AUGAGUAGAGGGAACCAGCGAACCUUAGGCCGAACUGAACAGCAGAGGAACAAACGAGAAUACAGCAUUUCAAAGCUUACGCAUGCUAAGUUCAAAAAAAGCUUACGCAUGCUCUCCCCCGCCGCCGCCGUUGUAGCCGCCGUCCGCGCCGCGGGCGGGUCACCGACGGCCGUACGCCGCGCCCACGCGCGUCUCCUCAAGGAUGGCCUGGCGCUGCACCCUCCCGCGCCGUCCCUUCUCGUCUCCGCCUACGCCAAGUGCCGUCUCCUCCCCGACGCCCGCAGGGUGUUCGACGAAAGCCCGCGCCGGGACCUCCACCUCUACUCGUCGCUCCUCACCGCCGUCUCCAACUCCGAUGCUCCUUACCUCGUGCUCCCGAUCAUACGUCGCAUGCUCUCUGCUGACGUCCUCCAGCCCGACCACUUCGUCCUCGCCUCCAUCGCCAGCGCCUCCGCCAGGUUGCGAAGCCUCAGUCUUGGUAAGCAGCUCCAUGGACACUUCGUUGCUUCCCCGUAUAGCGGAGACGAUGUCGUCAAGUCUUCUCUGAUCGAUAUGUACUGUAAAUGUGGUUUUCCGGAUGAUGCCAGGAAGGUCUUUGAUAGUAUGAGUGCCAAGAACAACGUCGUGUGGACUGCACUUGUUUCUGGGUACGCGUCGAACGGCUAUACUGAUGAGGCGCUGGAGCUCUUCCGGAGCAUGCCUGGACGCGGCCUCUUUGCAUGGACUGCGCUCGUAUCAGGAUUUGUAAGAGCUGGCGAGAGUGUUAGCGCGGUGGAGCUGUUUGUUGAGAUGAGGCGGGAUGCCAUCACUAUUGAUGAUGCAUUUGUGUUGUCAGCUGUAACUGGUGGGGCUGCUGACCUGGCUGCGCUUGUUCUGGGUAGGCAGUUGCAUGGUUUGUCCAUGAGGCUUGGGUUCUUGUCCAGCAUGAUGGUUGGGAAUGCAUUGGUUGACAUGUACUCCAAAUGUAGCGAUAUACACUCCGCUAGAGAAGUAUUUGAAGAGAUUACAGUGCGUGAUAUCAUCUCGUGGACGACAAUGAUUGUUGGAGAGGCUCAGCAUGGUCGAGCAGGGGAGGCUUUUGCUCUUUAUGACCGGAUGAUUCUUUCAGGAGUGAAGCCCAAUGAGGUGACAUUUGUUGGGUUGAUCUACGCAUGUAGCCACGCUGGUCUUGUUCAGAAAGGUCGGCAACUGUUUGACUCAGUGAAGCGGGAGUAUGACAUCAACCCUGGAUUACAACUCUAUACAUGCUACCUAGAUCUUCUUAGUCGCUCGGGCCAUUUAUCAGAAGCUGAAGAACUCAUCACUACGAUGCCAUAUGAGCCAGAUGAAGCUGCUUGGGGGGCCCUCUUGAGCGCGUGCAAGAAACACAACGAUGCUGAAAUGUGUGUCAGGGUUGCUGAUAAUCUGUUAGAGCUGGGACCAAAAUAUCCUUCAACAUGUGUCUUGUUAUCUAAUGUCUAUGCAGUGAAUGGCAAAUGGGGGUCUGUGAGCACGGUGAGAAAACUCAUGGCUAAUAUGAAGAUAAAUAAAGAGCCUGGGUAUAGCUGGGUUGAAGUUGGAAGAGAAUCUCGUCUGUUUCAUGCUGGGGAAGUGCCGGUUGAUAUGAGAGAAGAAAUUCUAGUUUUUCUCGAGGAAUUAGUCUCGGAGAUGCGCCGAAGGGGCUAUGUCCCUGAUACCAGUUCUGUGAUGCAUGAUCUGGAGGAGCAUGAAAAGGAGCACCAUCUUUUCUUGCACAGUGAGAGGCUGGCUGUUGCCUUUGGAAUCCUCAAGUCUCUUCCGGGGUCGGUGAUCCGGGUGGUGAAGAACCUCCGGGUCUGUGGGGACUGCCAUACAGUGAUGAAGUUAAUUAGUGAAAUUUUCCAGAGGAAGAUUAUUGUGAGAGACGCUACUCGUUUCCACCAUUUUGAAGUUGGGAAGUGCUCUUGUGGUGAAUUCUGGUAG